GACGGACGCUGGCGGCGUGCUUAACACAUGCAAGUCGAACGGAAAGGCCCUGCUUUUGUGGGGUGCUCGAGUGGCGAACGGGUGAGUAACACGUGAGUAACCUGCCCUUGACUUUGGGAUAACUUCAGGAAACUGGGGCUAAUACCGGAUAGGAGCUCCUGCUGCAUGGUGGGGGUUGGAAAGUUUCGGCGGUUGGGGAUGGACUCGCGGCUUAUCAGCUUGUUGGUGGGGUAGUGGCUUACCAAGGCUUUGACGGGUAGCCGGCCUGAGAGGGUGACCGGCCACAUUGGGACUGAGAUACGGCCCAGACUCUUACGGGAGGCAGCAGUGGGGAAUAUUGCACAAUGGGCGGAAGCCUGAUGCAGCAACGCCGCGUGCGGGAUGACGGCCUUCGGGUUGUAAACCGCUUUCGCCUGUGACGAAGCGUGAGUGACGGUAAUGGGUAAAGAAGCACCGGCUAACUACGUG
Molecule: ribosomal RNA, 468 nt
Filed under: uncultured bacterium
Lineage: Bacteria
Description: partial 16S ribosomal RNA
Rfam family: Bacterial small subunit ribosomal RNA
Source: RNAcentral